AUGCAGCUGAACGAUGUGUGUUGCAGGAUCACAGAUAGUGCAGGCAUUGGUGGUAAUCUGCUUCUACUUUCUGUAUGGAGCUGGGAGCGUCUGCCUGUUGGACGUCCGAAGAGCGUCAGGUUUAAUCCUUGGUAUGAAGAUGAACAUGACGAAUUACGGCGCCCCACUUGGGCUUACAAGUGGGAUAUGGUUUCCGAGAUGACGAACGAUGUCAAUCUCAUGUACCAAAAGUACAUUGCCGAGUUGGACACGAUUACGCCUGAGUAG
Molecule: ribosomal RNA, 267 nt
Filed under: Triticum aestivum (bread wheat)
Lineage: Eukaryota; Viridiplantae; Streptophyta; Magnoliopsida; Poales; Poaceae
Description: partial small subunit ribosomal RNA
Source: RNAcentral